This is a long non-coding RNA of Rattus norvegicus (Norway rat), 921 nucleotides long. The record is from Ensembl. Lineage: Eukaryota; Metazoa; Chordata; Mammalia; Rodentia; Muridae.
UUUUAUUGGUUUGCCCUUAAAGGUGGCAAUUCAUCACAUCCUGGAAGGCACAACCUCAAAGCACUAGUACAUGUCAUUGCCCUGGUUAAGUACAUCUUGGAAAGCAUACGUUCUGAUGGAGUUUUAAAAUUUCAUUUUAUUUUAUAGGCGUCUUGCCUCCAUGUAUGCCUGUGCACCAAUUACAGGCUUGGUAUCCACAGAUGCUGGAAAGGGUGCUGAUUCUCCUGGAGCUGGAGUAACACAUGGCUUGUGAGCCACCAUGGCGGUGAUGGGAGUUGAACCCAGGCACCCAGACUGCAGGAAAACAACAGACAAUUGUGCGUCUUGGCCUCGUCCACUCAGUGAGCUGGAGAAAUCACCUAAGAGGCAGAUGAGAAGACUCGGCCUAUUGUACCUUGAGCAUUUUAGGCUGUGCAUCCAAGGGCAGGCCUCACAGCUCUGUGGAAAGCCCGUUGGCCCAGAGUUAGUACAUUCCGCCAUGUUAUGUCAUGAGCAAUCUAUGAUGGUGCGAGUGUCUCCAUUCACUAGUUGUGAUAUGAGCAAAGGGAAUGACAGUAUCUAGCCAGAAUUUUUGAAGAAGGAAACAGACUCAGAAGAGAUAACUACACCAAGCUGAUAAUAGGACUGAAACUGAUUUCUGUGGACUCCCGAUCUAAGGAUAACUUGACUGAGUUACCUCUUUCAAGGGUGGAAUCAGAGCUCCUCAAGGAAGGAAGGAGAAUAACGCCCAAAGCUAGUAUGCUUGACAAAGCAAUUCAUCCUUCCAAACUUGAUGGGAGCAGAGAGAGGCCCUGUCUCUAUCUCUUCUCUAGUGGAUCCUUUACACAUCGCCUCCUGCAGUCAGACUGGAAAAAAAGGAUGGUGAGAGGGGAAGGGGGGAUUAAUGUGUACAAUUCUAUGAACAGUUCCUAGAUUGUCUCC